RNAcentral lists this long non-coding RNA (1290 nucleotides) under Cyanistes caeruleus (blue tit). RNAcentral describes it as "lncRNA (ENSCCEG00000020281.1)". Lineage: Eukaryota; Metazoa; Chordata; Aves; Passeriformes; Paridae. The record is from RNAcentral.
CAUGGUCCGGCGGGCAGCCCGGGCACGGUAGGAGCCGGCGGGGCGGGCGGGGAGCGGGGCGGCUCCGGGGCCUCUCGGUGCCCGAGCAGCGGCGCCUCUGGCGGGCAGGGCCGGGGCGAGGCCGAGCCCGGCUGCGGGGGAGCAGCCCGGGGAGACUGAUGGCUGUGAUUGAUGGCUGUGAUUGAUGGCUGUGAUUGAUUGAUGGCUGUGAUUGAUUGAUGGCUGUGAUUGAUUGAUGGCUGUGAUUGAUUGAUGGCUGUGAUUGAUGGCUGUGAUUGAUUGAUUGAUUGAUGGCUGUGAUUGAUUGAUUGAUUGAUUGAUGGCUGCGGCUCCGGGGAUGCCGCGGGAGGGGCGCUGCCCGAGCCCGGCCGUGUGCCCCGGGCUGGGAGGGCAGCGAUGAUCGGUGCUGCGGCUCUUUGGGACAGCGGGUUUGUUCCUUCGGGGCUCCGGAGCACACCUUACAAGGUCUGGUUACUGUGUCGCUUUUUACUACAUAAAGCUACGCGAGUACAGCGGGGACUUACAUAAUCCUCUGUGUGCAGGACCCAGAGCGUUGGUGUAAGGUCAGUUUUGCUGUAGCCUCCUGCCGGACUGCGCCCUGUUUUGCCCUUAUUCCCUGGCUGAAGUGGGCAGCCGGGGUGCCUGGUGGCUGCUGGUGGCCAUGCCCCACUCAAAAACCCUGAGCUGUCUGAGCCAUGGCUCAAGAUAAGGAAGUUUACAAAAUGAUUGUAAAAAUGGGAGUUGCUCCUUGAAGAAAGAUCACUUUUUGGUUUUGGUUUUUUUUUCCAUGCUAGAGAUGCAGGAUGGCUCAAUGAACCUUUUGUCCCAGGAGAAGCGUGUGCCUUUCCCACCCCUCUAACAUCUGAUUUCUACAGCAGAUGCAGCCCUGCAAAGCUCAGCAGCACAGACAGCUCAGGCUUGCUGCUCUAAGUUGGCUGCUGGAGCAAACUGCCGAGACUCCAGUGCCCCACGGUAGGAGAGGUCUGGCCGAUGGUCAGAGUGGCUCUCCCAGCCUGCAAGGAGGGAUAUUUCCCUGGAGCCUUGUUCGUGCAUUACCUGGCAGAGUGGUGCAGCAUGACAGCAGCAGAGGAGCAGACCUGCAUGGGACCCUGCAUGACCUGGGGGUUUCCCAGAGCUGUGGAGCUGCUGCUCUGCUCCUUUGUGUUUCCAGGUGUGUGAUGGAGCUCAUUCCCACAGCUUACCUUGCCAAGUCACGAGUCAGACACCGGUUGCUUUCAGACAAAGCUGUGUGAUGCCUGCAGAAUAAAAGUGAGUGAGUGUCUGGUACCA